Molecule: signal recognition particle RNA, 84 nt
Filed under: human gut metagenome
Description: Bacterial small signal recognition particle RNA
Rfam family: Bacterial small signal recognition particle RNA
About the family: The signal recognition particle (SRP) is a universally conserved ribonucleoprotein involved in the co-translational targeting of proteins to membranes. Archaeal SRP consists of a 7S RNA and homologues of the eukaryotic SRP19 and SRP54 proteins. In most bacteria, the SRP consists of a 4.5S RNA and the Ffh protein (a homologue of the eukaryotic SRP54 protein).
Source: RNAcentral
UGGGUUCUGCGCAAGGUGAUGUUGUGAACCAUGUCAGGGCCGGGAGGCAGCAGCAUUAAGCAAAUUUUCGCUUGUGCCGCAGGU